RNAcentral lists this ribosomal RNA (478 nucleotides) under uncultured bacterium. RNAcentral's name for it is "partial 16S ribosomal RNA". It matches the Rfam family "Bacterial small subunit ribosomal RNA", at positions 28 to 507 of the family's 1533-position model. The record is from RNAcentral.
GAUGAACGCUGGCGGCGUGCUUAACACAUGCAAGUCGAACGAGAAGUGGAGACGGAAACCUUCGGGCGGAAGACUUUACUUCGAGUGGCGGACGGGUGAGUAACGCGUGGGUAACCUGCCUCAUACAGGGGGAUAACAGUUGGAAACGACUGUUAAUACCGCAUAAGACCACAGCACCGCAUGGUGCGGGGGUAAAAACUCCGGUGGUAUGAGAUGGACCCGCGUUCGAUUAGCCAGUUGGCGGGGUAACGGCCCACCAAAGCGACGAUCGAUAGCCGAUCUGAGAGGAUGACCGGCCACAUUGGGACUGAGACACGGCCCAAACUCCUACGGGAGGCAGCAGUGGGGAAUAUUGCACAAUGGGGGAAACCCUGAUGCAGCGACGCCGCGUGAGUGAAGAAGUAUUUCGGUAUGUAAAGCUCUAUCAGCAGGGAAGAAAAUGACAGUACCUGAGUAAGAAGCCCCGGCUAACUACGUA